GAUAAACGCUAGCGGCAGGCUUAACACAUGCAAGUCGAGGGGCAGCAUAGAUUGUAGCAAUACAAUUGGUGUCGACCGGCGCACGGGUGCGUAACGCGUAUGCAACCUACCCGUCACAGGGGGAUAAUCCGGAGAAGUCUGGUCUAAUACCCCAUAACAUAUGGAUCGGCAUCGGUUCAUGUUGAAAUUUUCGGAGGUGACGGAUGGGCAUGCGUAGCAUUAGCUUGUUGGUGAGGUAACGGCUCACCAAGGCGACGAUGCUUAGGGGGACUGAGAGGUUUUCCCCCCACACUGGUACCGAGACACGGACCAGACUCCUACGGGAGGCAGCAGUGAGGAAUAUUGGUCAAUGGGCGCAAGCCUGAACCAGCCAUGCCGCGUGCAGGAUGACGGCUCUAUGAGUUGUAAACUGCUUUUGUACGAGGGUAAAGUGGGUUACGUGUAACCUUUUGAAAGUAUCGUACGAAUAAGGAUCGGCUAACUCCGUGCCAGCCGCCGCGGUAA
RNAcentral lists this ribosomal RNA (504 nucleotides) under uncultured bacterium. RNAcentral describes it as "partial 16S ribosomal RNA". It matches the Rfam family "Bacterial small subunit ribosomal RNA", at positions 28 to 523 of the family's 1533-position model. The record is from RNAcentral.